UUAAGCGACUAAGCGUACACGGUGGAUGCCCUGGCAGUCAGAGGCGAUGAAGGACGUGCUAAUCUGCGAUAAGCGUCGGUAAGGUGAUAUGAACCGUUAUAACCGGCGAUUUCCGAAUGGGGAAACCCAGUGUGUUUCGACACACUAUCAUUAACUGAAUCCAUAGGUUAAUGAGGCGAACCGGGGGAACUGAAACAUCUAAGUACCCCGAGGAAAAGAAAUCAACCGAGAUUCCCCCAGUAGCGGCGAGCGAACGGGGAGCAGCCCAGAGCCUGAAUCAGUGUGUGUGUUAGUGGAAGCGUCUGGAAAGGCGCGCGAUACAGGGUGACAGCCCCGUACACAAAAAUGCACAUAUUGUGAGCUCGAUGAGUAGGGCGGGACACGUGGUAUCCUGUCUGAAUAUGGGGGGACCAUCCUCCAAGGCUAAAUACUCCUGACUGACCGAUAGUGAACCAGUACCGUGAGGGAAAGGCGAAAAGAACCCCGGCGAGGGGAGUGAAAAAGAACCUGAAACCGUGUACGUACAAGCAGUGGGAGCACGCUUAGGCGUGUGACUGCGUACCUUUUGUAUAAUGGGUCAGCGACUUAUAUUCUGUAGCAAGGUUAACCGAAUAGGGGAGCCGAAGGGAAACCGAGUCUUAACUGGGCGUUAAGUUGCAGGGUAUAGACCCGAAACCCGGUGAUCUAGCCAUGGGCAGGUUGAAGGUUGGGUAACACUAACUGGAGGACCGAACCGACUAAUGUUGAAAAAUUAGCGGAUGACUUGUGGCUGGGGGUGAAAGGCCAAUCAAACCGGGAGAUAGCUGGUUCUCCCCGAAAGCUAUUUAGGUAGCGCCUCGUGAAUUCAUCUCCGGGGGUAGAGCACUGUUUCGGCAAGGGGGUCAUCCCGACUUACCAACCCGAUGCAAACUGCGAAUACCGGAGAAUGUUAUCACGGGAGACACACGGCGGGUGCUAACGUCCGUCGUGAAGAGGGAAACAACCCAGACCGCCAGCUAAGGUCCCAAAGUCAUGGUUAAGUGGGAAACGAUGUGGGAAGGCCCAGACAGCCAGGAUGUUGGCUUAGAAGCAGCCAUCAUUUAAAGAAAGCGUAAUAGCUCACUGGUCGAGUCGGCCUGCGCGGAAGAUGUAACGGGGCUAAACCAUGCACCGAAGCUGCGGCAGCGACACUAUGUGUUGUUGGGUAGGGGAGCGUUCUGUAAGCCUGUGAAGGUGUGCUGUGAGGCAUGCUGGAGGUAUCAGAAGUGCGAAUGCUGACAUAAGUAACGAUAAAGCGGGUGAAAAGCCCGCUCGCCGGAAGACCAAGGGUUCCUGUCCAACGUUAAUCGGGGCAGGGUGAGUCGACCCCUAAGGCGAGGCCGAAAGGCGUAGUCGAUGGGAAACAGGUUAAUAUUCCUGUACUUGGUGUUACUGCGAAGGGGGGACGGAGAAGGCUAUGUUGGCCGGGCGACGGUUGUCCCGGUUUAAGCGUGUAGGCUGGUUUUCCAGGCAAAUCCGGAAAAUCAAGGCUGAGGCGUGAUGACGAGGCACUACGGUGCUGAAGCAACAAAUGCCCUGCUUCCAGGAAAAGCCUCUAAGCAUCAGGUAACAUCAAAUCGUACCCCAAACCGACACAGGUGGUCAGGUAGAGAAUACCAAGGCGCUUGAGAGAACUCGGGUGAAGGAACUAGGCAAAAUGGUGCCGUAACUUCGGGAGAAGGCACGCUGAUAUGUAGGUGAAGUCCCUCGCGGAUGGAGCUGAAAUCAGUCGAAGAUACCAGCUGGCUGCAACUGUUUAUUAAAAACACAGCACUGUGCAAACACGAAAGUGGACGUAUACGGUGUGACGCCUGCCCGGUGCCGGAAGGUUAAUUGAUGGGGUUAGCCGCAAGGCGAAGCUCUUGAUCGAAGCCCCGGUAAACGGCGGCCGUAACUAUAACGGUCCUAAGGUAGCGAAAUUCCUUGUCGGGUAAGUUCCGACCUGCACGAAUGGCGUAAUGAUGGCCAGGCUGUCUCCACCCGAGACUCAGUGAAAUUGAACUCGCUGUGAAGAUGCAGUGUACCCGCGGCAAGACGGAAAGACCCCGUGAACCUUUACUAUAGCUUGACACUGAACAUUGAGCCUUGAUGUGUAGGAUAGGUGGGAGGCUUUGAAGUGUGGACGCCAGUCUGCAUGGAGCCGACCUUGAAAUACCACCCUUUAAUGUUUGAUGUUCUAACGUUGACCCGUAAUCCGGGUUGCGGACAGUGUCUGGUGGGUAGUUUGACUGGGGCGGUCUCCUCCUAAAGAGUAACGGAGGAGCACGAAGGUUGGCUAAUCCUGGUCGGACAUCAGGAGGUUAGUGCAAUGGCAUAAGCCAGCUUGACUGCGAGCGUGACGGCGCGAGCAGGUGCGAAAGCAGGUCAUAGUGAUCCGGUGGUUCUGAAUGGAAGGGCCAUCGCUCAACGGAUAAAAGGUACUCCGGGGAUAACAGGCUGAUACCGCCCAAGAGUUCAUAUCGACGGCGGUGUUUGGCACCUCGAUGUCGGCUCAUCACAUCCUGGGGCUGAAGUAGGUCCCAAGGGUAUGGCUGUUCGCCAUUUAAAGUGGUACGCGAGCUGGGUUUAGAACGUCGUGAGACAGUUCGGUCCCUAUCUGCCGUGGGCGCUGGAGAACUGAGGGGGGCUGCUCCUAGUACGAGAGGACCGGAGUGGACGCAUCACUGGUGUUCGGGUUGUCAUGCCAAUGGCACUGCCCGGUAGCUAAAUGCGGAAGAGAUAAGUGCUGAAAGCAUCUAAGCACGAAACUUGCCCCGAGAUGAGUUCUCCCUGACUCCUUGAGAGUCCUGAAGGAACGUUGAAGACGACGACGUUGAUAGGCCGGGUGUGUAAGCGCAGCGAUGCGUUGAGCUAACCGGUACUAAUGAACCGUGAGGCUUAACCUU
This 2903-nucleotide ribosomal RNA is filed under the name human gut metagenome. Its description in RNAcentral is "bacterial LSU rRNA". It matches the Rfam family "Bacterial large subunit ribosomal RNA". The record is from RNAcentral.